This is a non-coding RNA of Osmia lignaria (orchard mason bee), 1398 nucleotides long. NCBI's taxonomy places the organism in Eukaryota, Metazoa, Arthropoda, Insecta, Hymenoptera, Megachilidae. The record is from RefSeq and is a predicted model, not a curated record.
CUGGUCUUUUCGCAGUUAUGGACUCUCGUGACAUCAGGAUCCAUGGUGAAACACCAUGGUGUUGGUUCAUCUCCACCUGCAUUUCUACAAUAAUUUUCUCCAUAACGAAUUUGAGGGAAGACAUCUGGUGGCCUGUCAUGACUGUGCGGUACUUGUGCAUUCCAUGACUGACAAUCCAAGCCAAAUUUUGUUUUAUUUACUUUACCCAUAUAAAAUCUACCAUUGCCUUUAAUACAGUCAUCUGGAAACAACAAAUAAUUAAGACCUUGGUGCUAUCUACAUUUAAUUAUCCUAAAAAAAAAUGUUUAAUUUGCUUUACAUGUAACAAGAGUUUCAUUCAUAUCAGUUAAAUUUAUAUGAGAACAUGUCAUUUUUCCUUUAACUACUUUUGGCAGUGAUUCACAUUCUGGUAAUGUAAAAUGUCCCCUUGAUCUGAUGUAAAUAUCUCUUUGCUUGUUGUCUUCUAUCAUUGCCCAAUCAUUAAAACAGAACUGAUGACGUACAGCCAUACAAUCUUCAUAACAUAAUGGUAGGCCAACUGAGUUAGGACAUUGUGGAAAAGCAUACAUACAUAGCAUUUUCUAUAAUAAUUGAAACAUUGAUAUUAUAUUUCUUUGUAACACCAAAUUACAUGACUCUUUGCUGUUUUAAAGUAAAUUACCUCUGCAGCUGAACGACAUGGCUCAACAAGCCUCUGUAUCAGUUCCUCCCACAAAUUGGUUGUAAUACGUUCAUUCAGCCAACCACCAGGGUUAUCAUUAGAAUCAUUAAACCAUACUUUUCCAAUUCCAGUUAAAUAUUUCUUGCAAAUCUGUCCAUUAUAUUGUGCACAAUAACCUUGUGAUUCAGGUUCUAAAAACAUAAAAAAUGUGAAUUAAUGAUACUUCCUUCUAAACUCAGCAUAUUCUUUAUGCUAUACUUUUUCAAAUACAUACUGGUUUGUGCAGAACUGAAAUGCAAAAUAAUUGCUACUAGGGAAACAAUCCAGAACACCAUUAUUUACAUAUAAUAGUUGAAAGAACGUCAAGAAAAUAUAUCACAUGUUUAAAACAAAAUUCAUCACGAUGAAAAAUUCGUUGACACCAGUGUUUAUUUAAUUAAUACUAAAUCGUAUCAAAUUCAGGGUACAAAUCAAACAUUUCUUAAUACACAGUGGAUUAGGAUACUUCAUUCUAGGCGCUAAUUUAACUUUCACGCUUUUAUUGGUGUACUCAGUAACCACUGAAUGAAUAUUGCAAUUAUCGAUUGUAAUUUUUUAAACCGUUUUCAAUGGGGGCAAUACAAUAAUUCAACAAAAAUAGAGUUAGCGUACUAAGCUAUAGUAUCGAGCACAUAAUUCGUUGUAUAAAAAGAUGAACAAACUAUUCGCAAAUAAAUCUUUCUGUAACAUACAUAUAA